GAGAUGGCUUGGUGCUCGAAAGAGAGCCGUAACACAGGUGCUGCAUGGCUGUCGUCAGCUCGUGUCGUGAGAUGUUGGGUUAAGUCCCGCAACGAGCGCAACCCUUGUCAUUAGUUGCUACGAAAGGGCACUCUAAUGAGACUGCCGGUGACAAACCGGAGGAAGUGGGGAUGACGUCAAGUCCUCAUGGCCCUUAUGGGUAGGGCUACACACGUCAUACAAUGGCCGGUACAAAGGGCAGCCAACCCGCGAGGGGGGAGCCAAUCCCGUAAAGCCGGUCGUAGUCCGGAUCGCAGUCUGCAACUCGACUGCGUGAAGUCGGAAUCGCUAGUAAUCGUGGAUCAGCAUGUCACGGUGAAUACGCUCCCGGGUCUU
Molecule: ribosomal RNA, 375 nt
Filed under: uncultured Hydrogenophaga sp.
Lineage: Bacteria; Pseudomonadati; Pseudomonadota; Betaproteobacteria; Burkholderiales; Comamonadaceae
Description: bacterial SSU rRNA
Rfam family: Bacterial small subunit ribosomal RNA
Source: RNAcentral